Molecule: ribosomal RNA, 490 nt
Filed under: uncultured bacterium
Lineage: Bacteria
Description: partial 16S ribosomal RNA
Rfam family: Bacterial small subunit ribosomal RNA
Source: RNAcentral
AUUGAACGCUGGCGGCAGGCCUAACACAUGCCAGUCGAACGGUAACAGGAAGAAGCUUGCUUCUUUGCUGACGAGUGGCGGACGGGUGAGUAAUGUCUGGGAAACUGCCUGAUGGAGGGGGAUAACUACUGGAAACGGUAGCUAAUACCGCAUAACGUCGCAAGACCAAAGAGGGGGAGCUUCGGGCCUCUUGCCAUCGGAUGUGCCCAGAUGGGAUUAGCUAGUAGGUGGGGUAACGGCUCACCUAGGCGACGAUCCCUAGCUGGUCUGAGAGGAUGACCAGCCACACUGGAACUGAGACACGGUCCAGACUCCUACGGGAGGCAGCAGUGGGGAAUAUUGCACAAUGGGCGCAAGCCUGAUGCAGCCAUGCCGCGUGUAUGAAGAAGGCCUUCGGGUUGUAAAGUACUUUCAGCGGGGAGGAAGGGAGUAAAGUUAAUACCUUGACUCAUUGACGUUACCCACAGAAGAAGCACCGGCUAACUCCGUG